AACUGAUACUACCUGCGGGAACCUGCGGAAGGAUCAUUACCGAGUGUUGAUUGUUAUGCAAUCGCCUCCCACCCUUGAUUAUUUAUCCUGUUGCUUCGGCGAGACGUCUUUUUGGAAAAAAAAAGCCGUCGACUAGAUGGAUACGACUUCACUGAAGUUUGUAUUUUGUGGGCGUGAGCUCGCCGAAGGUUUUCAAACUCUGAUAAUUUGAAGUCUGAAAAUUCAAAAAAUUGAUUAAAA
This 240-nucleotide unclassified non-coding RNA is filed under the name soil metagenome. RNAcentral's name for it is "partial contains 5.8S ribosomal RNA, internal transcribed spacer 2, and large subunit ribosomal RNA". The record is from RNAcentral.